GGGUAUGAUGAUGACGGGGCAGGCACUUCGUCAUCGUCCGGUUCCUCUUCUGCCACUUCUUCCCGCUCGUCUGGGAAUGAGGUGGCUUUUAAUUAUGAUAAUUCUCGUAUGUGGACUUUUGUAAUUCCUCCGCCCAUAGUACAGGGGUAUGACUGGGCACCCCAUGAGGUUAAGAACUAUAUCUCGUACUUUAUAUCGACUGCAUCUAUUAGGC
RNAcentral lists this long non-coding RNA (214 nucleotides) under Vigna radiata. RNAcentral's name for it is "long non-coding RNA (VRAD_LNC016985)". The record is from RNAcentral. Lineage: Eukaryota; Viridiplantae; Streptophyta; Magnoliopsida; Fabales; Fabaceae.